GGCGACUCCCUACGACAACCCCAACUCCCGCAUCAGCUACACCAUUAUCGAAAACCCGUACCGAGAAAAAAGAUUUCUAGUUUAGAUCACCCUGAGUGGAGAGUCCAGCAGCUCAAACCUGCAGCCGUAAAACUAAACUAAAGGUCUGCAUCACCUGCUCGGUUCUCCUGUGUGAGAACGCCGUUCCUGGUGCACCGUUCCCUGUUCUCAGCGAUGCACCAACCAAAGGAAGCUCCUUCUCAAACUAACAGCCACUCCAUUUCCCAGGGACCUCUGGCACUAAAGGGGAGUGGUUUUCUUCUCCUUCACAGGGUGGCAGGCUGAUGGGAUCCAGCUGUGACUCAUCACCACCAAUCUGCCUUAAACAAGAGCGGCUUCCCGGAAGCAGUGAACCCGUGCUGAACACUCUCUGAGACAUACUCACCUGAAGUAUCUGAUCCUCGCUGCUCCGUUGGGCCUUGCACCUGGGUGCGUCACGCCCUCCAGCACCUGCUGGUACUCCUCCAUCUGGAAACCACCAAACCACACCAACUGUUGGCCAUAAGCCACCAACCGGUUACUCCGUCAUUCCCUUCAUUACUUCCCUCUUUAACCGUUCGCCCUUUGCAGCUCCUCCGCUGGCCCGGUUCCCCCCUGCUGUCGCAGAUCGACGCCCCUCCACAAGCUCUCCAGCACAUUCUACUGUUAAAUAAAUGUUAAAACUGUUUGAGUGUCUGUAGUUGUUGCUUGCAUUAUGACAUUAUUUCUUUUUAAGGGAAAAAAAA
This is a long non-coding RNA of Xiphophorus hellerii (green swordtail), 764 nucleotides long. RefSeq lists it as uncharacterized. Lineage: Eukaryota; Metazoa; Chordata; Actinopteri; Cyprinodontiformes; Poeciliidae. The transcript has 4 exons. The record is from RefSeq and is a predicted model, not a curated record.